This 253-nucleotide ribosomal RNA is filed under the name uncultured bacterium. RNAcentral describes it as "partial 16S ribosomal RNA". It matches the Rfam family "Bacterial small subunit ribosomal RNA", at positions 524 to 776 of the family's 1533-position model. The record is from RNAcentral.
UACGAAGGGGGCUAGCGUUGCUCGGAAUUACUGGGCGUAAAGGGCGCGUAGGCGGUUACUUAAGUCGGGGGUGAAAGCCCAGGGCUCAACCCUGGAAUAGCCUUCGAUACUGGGUAUCUUGAGUUCGGGAGAGGUGAGUGGAACUCCGAGUGUAGAGGUGAAAUUCGUAGAUAUUCGGAAGAACACCAGUGGCGAAGGCGACUCACUGGCCCGAUACUGACGCUGAGGCGCGAAAGCGUGGGGAGCAAACAGG